GGGGAAUAUUGCACAAUGGGCGAAAGCCUGAUGCAGCAACGCCGCGUGAGUGAUGAAGGUCUUCGGAUUGUAAAGCUCUGUCUUUUGGGACGAUAAUGACGGUACCAAAGGAGGAAGCCACGGCUAACUACGUGCCAGCAGCCGCGGUAAUACGUAGGUGGCGAGCGUUGUCCGGAUUUACUGGGCGUAAAGGGUGCGUAGGCGGAUGUUUAAGUGAGAUGUGAAAUACCCGGGCUUAACUUGGGUGCUGCAUUUCAAACUGGAUAUCUAGAGUGCAGGAGAGGAGAAUGGAAUUCCUAGUGUAGCGGUGAAAUGCGUAGAGAUUAGGAAGAACACCAGUGGCGAAGGCGAUUCUCUGGACUGUAACUGACGCUGAGGCACGAAAGCGUGGGUAGCAAACAGGAUUAGAUACCCUGGUAGUCCACGCCGUAAAACGAUGAGUACUAGGUGUAGGAGGUAUCGACCCCUUCUGUGCCGCAGUAAACACAUUAAGUACUCCGCCUGGGAAGUACGAUCGCAAGAUUAAAAC
RNAcentral lists this ribosomal RNA (529 nucleotides) under uncultured bacterium. RNAcentral describes it as "partial 16S ribosomal RNA". It matches the Rfam family "Bacterial small subunit ribosomal RNA", at positions 356 to 900 of the family's 1533-position model. The record is from RNAcentral.